Molecule: ribosomal RNA, 253 nt
Filed under: uncultured bacterium
Lineage: Bacteria
Description: partial 16S ribosomal RNA
Rfam family: Bacterial small subunit ribosomal RNA
Source: RNAcentral
UACGUAGGGUGCAAGCGUUAAUCGGAAUUACUGGGCGUAAAGCGUGCGCAGGCGGUUUUGUAAGUCAGAUGUGAAAUCCCCGGGCUUAACCUGGGAACUGCGUUUGAAACUACAAAGCUAGAGUGUGGCAGAGGGGGGUGGAAUUCCACGUGUAGCAGUGAAAUGCGUAGAGAUGUGGAGGAACACCGAUGGCGAAGGCAGCCCCCUGGGUUAACACUGACGCUCAGGCACGAAAGCGUGGGGAGCAAACAGG